GGCUCUGUAGCUCAGGGGUUAGAGCAGGGGAUUCAUAAGCCCAAGGUCGUAGGUUCAAAUCCAACCAGAGCCA
RNAcentral lists this transfer RNA (73 nucleotides) under Eunotia naegelii. RNAcentral's name for it is "tRNA-Ile". It matches the Rfam family "tRNA". Rfam says of the family: Transfer RNA (tRNA) molecules are approximately 80 nucleotides in length. Their secondary structure includes four short double-helical elements and three loops (D, anti-codon, and T loops). Lineage: Eukaryota; Bacillariophyta; Bacillariophyceae; Eunotiales; Eunotiaceae. The record is from RNAcentral.